UUUGGCAACACAUUAGGCUUAGCACAUUUGGGCUUACAAAUUCGGUUUAGAAAAUAAUACCCAAAACAAAUAAUUAAAUAACUAAAAUAAAAAAUAUAAAUUUAAUUAAUUUGGUACGGUUCGGUUUGGUUUCUAGACCAUUGAAAUUGAAACCGAACCAAAAGAAUUCGGUUCGGUUCAGUUUUUUUUUUGUCUCUGUUUGGUGUUUAGUACCUUUUUUUUUCGGUUUUUGGUUUUUUGAACCCACCCCUAAUACUUCAACCGAAAUU
RNAcentral lists this long non-coding RNA (269 nucleotides) under Malus domestica (apple). RNAcentral describes it as "long non-coding RNA (MDOM_LNC013151)". Lineage: Eukaryota; Viridiplantae; Streptophyta; Magnoliopsida; Rosales; Rosaceae. The record is from RNAcentral.